Molecule: ribosomal RNA, 440 nt
Filed under: uncultured bacterium
Lineage: Bacteria
Description: partial 16S ribosomal RNA
Rfam family: Bacterial small subunit ribosomal RNA
Source: RNAcentral
CCUACGGGAGGCUGCAGUGGGGAAUAUUGCACAAUGGGGGAAACCCUGAUGCAGCAACGCCGCGUGAGUGAAGAAGUUUUUCGGUAUGUAAAGCUCUAUCAGCAGGGAAGAAAAUGACGGUACCUGCUUAAGAAGCCCCGGCUAACUACGUGCCAGCAGCCGCGGGAAUACGUAGGGGGCAAGCGUUAUCCGGAUUUACUGGGGGUAAAGGGGGGGUAGGCGGCAGCACAAGUCUGGAGUGAAAUGCCGGGGGUUAACCCCGGAACUGCUGUGGAAACUGUGCAGCUAGAGUGCAGGAGAGGUAAGUGGAAUGCGUAGUGUAGCGGUGAAAUGCGUAGAUAUUAGGAGGAACACCAGUGGCGAAGGCGGCUUACUGGACUGUAACUGACGUUGAGGCUCGAAAGCGUGGGGAGCGAACAGGAUUAGAUACCCGGGUAGUC